UAAUCAAGAACAACUUGCGGUUUGUACCGGU
RNAcentral lists this small RNA (31 nucleotides) under Bombyx mori (domestic silkworm). Its description in RNAcentral is "piRNA piR-bmo-1859252". Lineage: Eukaryota; Metazoa; Arthropoda; Insecta; Lepidoptera; Bombycidae. The record is from RNAcentral.